Triticum urartu is the source of this 749-nucleotide non-coding RNA. The record is from RefSeq and is a predicted model, not a curated record. Lineage: Eukaryota; Viridiplantae; Streptophyta; Magnoliopsida; Poales; Poaceae.
AAACUCCAGGACCACAGAAAUAGGGAACUCAUAUGAUAAUAAACUCUAUGCUGAAAUCGGUUUACUUCGCUAGUGAUGUGAUGCAUGAGUUGUGUGCUAAUUUUGUCUGCAAGUUGAAGUCGGUUUAGCUCCAUCAGCAAUGCCUGUGGAGUUGUGGCUGUGGUUGGUACGUACUAACUAAUGGAGUAGUGGGUAGCUGUGGUGUGCCCUGCUGUUGGAAUGGUUCCGAUAACUUGUUAGUAGCAUGUUCUAUUAGUUCCAGAGAAAAAGUGAAAUCCCAGCUCCGCCUGCUUCAUGAUCCUCUGGUUCUGCUUUUACCUGCCUACUGUCAUGUGAAUUGGCUAACUGUGGCUCAUAUUCUUUUCCCCAGGUAGCUCAUGGUGUGUGUCACCGGUGCAGCGAUGCUCUGCUCUUGCGCACGGUGACCGGCGUGACGGCGGCUAUGUAUGGCAGCGACCACAAGCUCAUCGGGAAGUUGAAGAUUUCGCUAGGAGGCUCAAUUAUGUUUGGCCUGAAAGAAUGCAUUUGGGUCAAGAAAGAAGAAUUGAGUCGCAACUGAUUGGUGGUAAUGGUUCUCUGCAGAGAUUUUCUGAUGGUAUGAUGUGGUGGUUAUCUUUUUUCGUUGCUGGAACCUGGAUGUCAUAUGUUAUGUGAUUUGAGCCAAAUGGCAUAUUGUAAUCUUUUUAUUGCUGGUUUUUAUGUAUGAUGUCAUGAAGAUGUACGUUUGAAAUGUUGCUUUGAUAGCAAAA